UGAGAGGGUGACCGGCCACAUUGGGACUGAGACACGGCCCAGACUCCUACGGGAGGCAGCAGUGGGGAAUAUUGCACAAUGGAGGAAACUCUGAUGCAGCGACGCCGCGUGAAGGAUGAAGUAUUUCGGUAUGUAAACUUCUAUCAGCAGGGAAGAAAAUGACGGUACCUGACUAAGAAGCCCCGGCUAACUACGUGCCAGCAGCCGCGGUAAUACGUAGGGGGCAAGCGUUAUCCGGAUUUACUGGGUGUAAAGGGAGCGUAGACGGCACGGCAAGCCAGAUGUGAAAGCCCGGGGCUCAACCCCGGGACUGCAUUUGGAACUGCUGAGCUAGAGUGUCGGAGAGGCAAGUGGAAUUCCUAGUGUAGCGGUGAAAUGCGUAGAUAUUAGGAGGAACACCAGUGGCGAAGGCGGCUUGCUGGACGAUGACUGACGUUGAGGCUCGAAAGCGUGGGG
RNAcentral lists this ribosomal RNA (456 nucleotides) under uncultured bacterium. Its description in RNAcentral is "bacterial SSU rRNA". It matches the Rfam family "Bacterial small subunit ribosomal RNA", at positions 293 to 766 of the family's 1533-position model. The record is from RNAcentral.